This 396-nucleotide ribosomal RNA is filed under the name uncultured bacterium. Its description in RNAcentral is "partial 16S ribosomal RNA". It matches the Rfam family "Bacterial small subunit ribosomal RNA", at positions 523 to 918 of the family's 1533-position model. The record is from RNAcentral.
AUACGUAGGGAGCGAGCGUUGUCCGGAAUUACUGGGUGUAAAGGGAGCGUAGGCGGGAUCGCAAGUCAGAUGUGAAAUACAUGGGCUUAACCCAUGGGCUGCAUUUGAAACUGUAGUUCUUGAGUGAAGUAGAGGUAAGCGGAAUUCCUGGUGUAGCGGUGAAAUGCGUAGAUAUCAGGAGGAACACCGGUGGCGAAGGCGGCUUACUGGGCUUUUACUGACGCUGAGGCUCGAAAGCGUGGGGAGCAAACAGGAUUAGAUACCCAGGUAGUCCACGCUGUAAACGAUGAUUACUAGGUGUGGGGGGACUGACCCCUUCCGUGCCGCAGUUAACACAAUAAGUAAUCCACCUGGGGAGUACGGCCGCAAGGUUGAAACUCAAAGGAAUUGACGGGG